GUUUAGGUAUGGCAAGGUCUCAGCCUCGUGGUGUCCAAGGGUGUCCAUCUCCAUCGUUGCUCCCUACACUGUUUUUUCAGAAAACACCCUCUGAGCAGAGAGCUUGAUUUAGGGACAGAUACAAGAGCCAUAAAUCCCAGGAAGCCCCCAGAUCACAGCAAUGAGCUUUUUGGAGGUUGUACACAGUGGAGAAGUGAUGAUGAGACAGAUUUUUCCAAGGAAACUUACCACUUCAUGGGAAACAGAGUUACUGUUUCCCAUGGGGAAGAAAUGUGCUGAAAACUUGCAGUGUUCUUCUUUUUAUGUCUUUUUUUCUUCUCCCUAUUUUAUUUUGAAGGGUUGGGGGCAGACAAACCUGAAAUGAAACACUUCAUUUUGGUCAGUUUGACCUGAUCGGGGGAAUAUUUCAUUCUUUUGAUUGGAUUGGUUUCAAAUCGAUUCAGAAUAUGCUUCAACUUUCCUCAGUGAGAGUGCAGCUCCAUCUCUUCUCCUUUAUUGUGGAUCUGCUCUUGGGAGUACCUUGAUGCCCAGGAGGCAAAGAGCAACUUUUGUUUUGUAUGCAAAUAAGCAUUCUGCAAUUUUUUUCAGCUCCUGUUCAGGUUUCCAGAAUUUCAAAUCACCUUUAUGUCACAUCAGUUUAAACAUAUCUAUAGAAAAUAUUAAUUUUUUUACUUGACAAUUGUCAAGUCCUGGAGCCUCAUUUGGAAUUUUGACUUGUCUGAGCCUUCCUUCCCUCCAGUUACAGUCUGUGGCUGAGAUAGGAAGACAAAGAAAAGCUGGAAGGAGCCAUCAGUUGCUGAUGUUUUGGUGCUGAAGAGCUCAGUGGUCACUGCUGGAGCUUCUGUGCUGCUGGCAUGGGUGUCAGAGAGCUAGCUGGAAAUGUGAAUCUCCCCUGGAUGUUUUACUCCACAAAUUUGCUGGGAGAAAUGCAGGAAUUGCUGCUCCACAGCAGGUUUCAGUGCCAUGGAUUUGGUGUCUGUGUGGAGCUGAGGGGGAUUACCUAGACCUUGGACUUGCCCACUGUGAGAAACAAUCUUCAGAAAGAUCAAGGAAUCACCAACCACUGCUGCUCUGUCCCUUUCCUCUCCUUGCAAAGGACUCCCAGACUUCUCCAGUCUGCUUCCAAGAGGAAGCUGAUGGGUGCUAAAUAGAUUUAUGGAAGAGAAGAGCCCUCCAAACACACUCAUAUUGCUGUUUCUGCUCAUCUGCCAUGUUUUCAGCAUUUUAAACAGGAGCAGUCCUAUUACAAAGCUGAAAAUUCCACUUUUUCCUUGAGAAGAAAGCUUUGAUUUCCCUGUUUUGCACUAAAAUCCCUAUGGAAUUCUCACUCUGUUGAAUUAAGGGCAGAUGAUAAAUUUCAAAUGGCAGAGCUGAAGAUGAAACAGGGGGACUCCUGGUUCCCUUUGCUUGGGCAGGAGACCUUGAAAGCAGUUCCUGGAACACUCUCCACAGCAGAUCCUUGGGGCACGUGCAAGUGCUGAAUGUCACACCCUGAAGGGCCAGGAGGUCACCUGAGAGGCGCAGUCUGGCCACAGCUGCUGAGACUGGGAGAUCCACAUCCCCCCUUCCAGUGGGCCAAGGCUGGCACACUGACCCAGGAGGAGCCACUCAGGUAGGCCUGCAGGCACUGGCAGAGGCCACAGCACAUCCACAACAUCCCAGGGUUUGGCUCCAAAAAACCAUGAGCUCUGUCAGGAGACAGCUGCCUUCAUUCUCUCUGGUUAUUGAGCUCUUUUCCCAGGCAUCUCCUCUUGACAGCUGUAACAGUGGGAAUUUGCCUUUGGCUCACUGUUAGCACCAAGGAUAUCCCAGCACAGGUAGGAAUUGGGAUGGCUUUAGUUUCCUUUGAUGAAAAUGAAGGUGGUGCUGUUGGAUAACACUGACCUGUAGGGUGCCCAGGUGUAAAUCUCUGUUUCAGAGGCUGUCUUGGGUUCAGUGCAAGAUCUGUUCUAUUCCCAUCUGUCGAAACUGGCUGGGGAGGUGGCUCUUUAUCUCUUCUAACUCUGGGGGAGAGGGGGCAGGUGUCCUCUGUUAAUGGGCCAGCUGUUAAAACCAAGUGGGGCAGUGUUUUUUCUCUCUUCCAUGACCCAUCCUCCCUCCAGGGGAUUUCUGCUGUUAAUGGGCCACUGAGUCUAAUUGCAUGACUGAUAAAAUUACAUCAUCCAUUGGGAGAGGCUCCACCCAGGCAGAGGAGCCCAGCAUUCCUACCUGGAUAAAAGCUGAGAUUCAGAACAGCAGGACAGCCUGUUUUCCACUGGAUUCCCAGAGGAAGACUGGACCCAUCUUGCCACCACUGGACCCUUCUACAGGAUCAGCUCUUCUCUAACAGAACCACAUCUGUUACUCCAGGAGGAUUUGUUUGGACUGCUUCCAACAUCCUGACCAACAGGAUGUCAGGUCCCAUUCUGACUCUGUCAGGGUUUUUCUUUUGUGUUCAUUUGCUUUUCUGUUCUACUACAUUUUUAUUUUGAUUUUCCUACUAAAGAACUGUUAUUCCUAUUCCCAUAUCUUUGCCUGAGAGCCCCUUAAUUUCAGAAUCAUAAUAAUUCAGAGGGAGGGGGUUUACAUUCUGCAUUCCAAGGGAAGCUCUGGCUUUUCCCUGGCAGACACCUGUCUUUUCAAGCUAAGAAAGAGGCACAGGGAGCACCUCCACUGAGCAACGGAGCUGGAUCUGGAUAUUCCAGGCAGGCACUGCUGGGCUGGGAUAUAACCCCCGGAAGCGGAGUGAUGUCUAAUUUGGGUGUUCACAAACCACUCCAUCACUGCCCCGGUGGUUUGGGUCUGUGUUGGCUGUGGCUUCUCUCGUUGGAGCCCUGUGGUGUGGAACCACCCCUGUGUCCCUCCAGGAGCGGUGUGGACACAGCUGGGAGGGCCUGGCUGACCCCUCUGCCCUUGCUGGGAGCCCCACGGGGCUCCUGCAAAAUCAGCCAGCCAGUGGACAUCUCUGCCACCACAACACAGAAAAACCACAUCCAUGUCUGUCCAUGGCUCCUUCCAGAGCUCCUGGAUUCCACUUGCAAAUUUAAAAAAAAAAAAAAAAAAAAAAAAAAAAAAAAAAAAAAAAAAAAAAAUCAUCUCCACUUUGGGUUGUUUAGUAACACCAGAAAACCCUCAGUGUACCAAUGAGAGGGAGUGAGUCCUCCAGGACCAGACAUGGACACUGAGAAUGCUCCAUGGCAGAAGCAACGACCCCAUUUCAACCGGCUUUUCCCACUUACCUUCAAAGCCAAGCUGGGGUCCGAUUGUAUCCGAUGCUGUGGCAUGGAAUAAUGUCUGCUUGGGAAAGCCGGGCGAUAGUUGGCUGAAGAAAAGAAAAAUAUCUUUCAGAUAUUUUAUAAUCCAAAAAACAUGGUCUCCAAUGAGUUUUUUCCAAGCACAUUAGCGCUACAGCCAUUAAUAAUCAUAGAGCUCAAAGAAGGAAAAAAAAAUCAGCUGGAAGGGAGUUGAAAGGGAAACCUAUUAAA
Long non-coding RNA from Prinia subflava (tawny-flanked prinia), 3464 nucleotides. RefSeq lists it as uncharacterized. The record is from RefSeq and is a predicted model, not a curated record. Lineage: Eukaryota; Metazoa; Chordata; Aves; Passeriformes; Cisticolidae. The transcript has 3 exons.